CUCCGUCCCUGAAUUCCAUGGAGAGAUAUGGACUAAGAUAGACCUCCCUGUAUUAAGUAGCCAGGCCCUGAAAAACUCCUUGCUCUGCCAAAGGAUCUGGAUGUAGAAGCCUCAGCUACUUCUCUAGCCACAGCUGCCUGUGUGCAGCCAUGCUCCCCACUGUGAACUAAACCUCUGAAACUCAAUGAAUCCCUAACUAAGACAGUCACCACCACCAUCAUCCUGGAGCCAUGCAGGCAAGCAGUUAGACGCAAGGGAAACUAGACACGUGCAGAUCUUGGAUCUUGGUAGCAGUGUCUCCUGAUGGACCGAUGCCCUUUCUUGGCUAGGUGUCUUUGAAGCUGAGGUUAGGCCAUUCUGCUAUACCAGCUGCCACCCCUGUACACCAGUGAAGGGACUCCAUCUACAGAAGACCCCAGCACUAUGACGUCAUUCACACAGUCACUUCCAAGCUUUGCUUUUUGAUAUUUUGUUUUUGCUUUUGUGGGCUUUUCUAGAGGAUCCUGAGAAGCAAUCCUAAAAGGGAAGAUCCCGUCUGCCAUACUCCAUUAAUGUGCUACGCAACUCAAAAAUAGUUAUAAAAAAGUUUUUUAAAAAGUCACCGCACAGAAUAGGGUGGGCUGCCUCUCUCUUUCUGAGUAGCCUACAUCAGUCUCUUUUGGAGUGUUUGCUUUGCUUUGUUAAAGAAACUGCUCAAACGGGCUCUCUCAGUUGAAUUCUUUCCUUCGAGAAGAUGUGAGCCAUGUGACCUCUCCUGGACCCCACAGCCAUUCCUUCGGUGUGACGGUGGAAAGUGCAUGACUAGACAGUUGCCCACACCCAACCGGUCAUGCGACAGGAAGCAAUGCCUUCUGCUAGUGUACUGGGAAAGAAAUUGCUAACAGUUCAGGUUGAAAUUUUUAUUCAACUUUCUAUUUGGAAUUUUUUUUAAGAUGGAAAUUUUAAAAAGCUG
Molecule: long non-coding RNA, 952 nt
Organism: Mastomys coucha (southern multimammate mouse)
Lineage: Eukaryota; Metazoa; Chordata; Mammalia; Rodentia; Muridae
Exons: 4
Source: RefSeq, a predicted model, not a curated record